This 1036-nucleotide long non-coding RNA is filed under the name Triticum aestivum (bread wheat). Its description in RNAcentral is "long non-coding RNA (TAES_LNC018137)". The record is from RNAcentral. Lineage: Eukaryota; Viridiplantae; Streptophyta; Magnoliopsida; Poales; Poaceae.
AAAUAUGGUGGCGCCCUAAAGGCCACAGAGGAAAGAAUUGAGGAGCUCAAAUCAGCCAAGAAGUGAACAAUUCCAAUUUGUUGAAAGCCUCUAGCAAUGAUUGGUGAUGAUGGUGACGACAAUGUACAGUUACUUGAACAAUUAGGUGCCAAUAAUAGCACAUUGAAAGCCUGAAAGUUGAUCUUGAUGUGGAAAUGUCAGUUCUUAUUGGACGCGGAGGAAUUGAUCCCGAGCUCAUAUGCUCCCGCAUGAACAGUAAAAUCGAAAAAAAUUCAAAAAAUUCCAAUUUUUUUUUGUGAGAAACAUUGACAAAAGUUCUAAGUGCCUGCAAAAAUUCGUCGUGAAAUCACAUUCCUAGAAGGCAUGGCAGAAAAAACAAAAACAGUACUCUGAAAAACCUGCUUUCAAAAGCAUUUUGAAGCACUGAAUUUGUUUUUUUUGCCACGCCUUACAUGAAUGUGAUUUCAUGAUGAAUUUUUGCAGGCACUUAGAACUUUUGUCAAUGUUUCUCUCAAAAAAAAAUUGGAACUUUUUUGAAAUUUUUUUGAUAUUUUUUCGAUUUUACUGUUCAUGCGGGAGCAUAUGAGCUCGGGAUCAAAAGAUGACUUUCGGUUCUUAUUUACCAUCUCCAGUCACAGAAUAGGCACGUUUGUGACCGGAGGGAAGGGCUGCAGUGUUUUUCCAACUAUUAUGGCAACUCUUUGGUGUCUUUCUUCAGCGUCUUGAUUAAAGUCGCUAAUUUGAUGGUAAGUGAUUUGAUAAAAAAACUUGCUAGUGUUGCACUGCCUGAAUUAAAUUAGUCUGCUAAGCUAAAUAUAGUCAAGUCCUACAAAAGUCCAAUGUACGCUUGUGCCACAUGUUGACAGUCGGAAGUUCCAUGUGUGAAUUCAAUACAUCAUAUUACAAUAUUCUAUGUUUAAACCUAAUGGUUAGGUAGGUCAUAUCGUCUGUUUAAAAACAAUACUAUUUUCUUAGGGCUUUCCGAAAUGAAAUACUGAAAAACAUGGGAAUAAAAACACACGGGAACUACUCAAUA